RNAcentral lists this non-coding RNA (25 nucleotides) under Cricetulus griseus (Chinese hamster). Lineage: Eukaryota; Metazoa; Chordata; Mammalia; Rodentia; Cricetidae. The record is from RNAcentral.
CGGCUGCGAACGGGAGCGGAGGCAG